RNAcentral lists this ribosomal RNA (496 nucleotides) under uncultured bacterium. RNAcentral describes it as "partial 16S ribosomal RNA". It matches the Rfam family "Bacterial small subunit ribosomal RNA", at positions 29 to 507 of the family's 1533-position model. The record is from RNAcentral.
AACGAACGCUGGCGGCGCGUCUUCAGCAUGCAAGUCGAACGGCAAGAGAGGAGCUUGCUUCUCUCCUAGAGUGGCGGACUGGUGAGGAACACGUGGGUAAUCUACCCUUAAGAUGGGGAUAGCUGCUAGAAAUAGCAGGUAAUACCGAAUACACUCGGCAUAUCACAAGAGGUGUUGAGGAAAGGAAGCUACGGCUUCGCUUGAGGAUGAGCUUGCGUCCCAUUAGCUAGUUGGUGAGGUAAAGGCCCACCAAGGCGACGAUGGGUAUCCGGCCUGAGAGGGUGAACGGACACAUUGGGACUGAGAUACGGCCCAAACUCCUACGGGAGGCAGCAGCUAAGAAUAUUCCGCAAUGGACGGAAGUCUGACGGAGCGACGCCGCGUGGAUGAAGAAGGCUGAAAAGUUGUAAAAUCCUUUUGUUGAUGAAGAAUAAGGGUGAGAGGGAAUGCUCAUCUGAUGACGGUAAUCGACGAAUAAGCCCCGGCUAAUUACGUG